Molecule: ribosomal RNA, 477 nt
Filed under: uncultured bacterium
Lineage: Bacteria
Description: partial 16S ribosomal RNA
Rfam family: Bacterial small subunit ribosomal RNA
Source: RNAcentral
UGGGGAAUUUUGGACAAUGGGCGCAAGCCUGAUCCAGCCAUGCCGCGUGCGGGAAGAAGGCCUUCGGGUUGUAAACCGCUUUUGUCAGGGAAGAAAUCUUCUGAGUUAAUACCUCGGGGAGGAUGACGGUACCUGAAGAAUAAGCACCGGCUAACUACGUGCCAGCAGCCGCGGUAAUACGUAGGGUGCAAGCGUUAAUCGGAAUUACUGGGCGUAAAAGCGUGCGCAGGCGGUUUUGUAAGACAGAGGUGAAAUCCCCGGGCUCAACCUGGGAACUGCCUUUGUGACUGCAAGGCUUGAGUGCGGCAGAGGGGGGAUGGAAUUCCGCGUGUAGCAGUGAAAUGCGUAGAUAUGCGGAGGAACACCGAUGGCGAAGGCAAUCCCCUAGGCCUGCACUGACGCUCAUGCACGAAAGCGUGGGGAGCAAACAGGAUUAGAUAGCCCUGGUAGUCCACGCCCUAAAACGAUGUCAACUGG